RNAcentral lists this ribosomal RNA (467 nucleotides) under uncultured bacterium. RNAcentral describes it as "partial 16S ribosomal RNA". It matches the Rfam family "Bacterial small subunit ribosomal RNA", at positions 29 to 507 of the family's 1533-position model. The record is from RNAcentral.
ACGAACGCUGGCGGUGUGCUUAACACAUGCAAGUCGAACGGUAAGGCCCUUUCGGGGGUACACGAGUGGCGAACGGGUGAGUAACACGUAAGUAACCUGCCCUCAUCUCUGGGAUAACAGUCGGAAACGGUUGCUAAUACUGGAUAUGAGCUUGCAAGGCAUCUUGUGGGUUGGAAAGAUUUUUUUUGGUUGGGGAUGGACUCGCGGCCUAUCAGCUUGUUGGUGAGGUAGUGGCUCACCAAGGCUUCGACGGGUAGCCGGCCUGAGAGGGCGACCGGCCACAUUGGGACUGAGAUACGGCCCAAACUCCUACGGGAGGCAGCAGUGGGGAAUAUUGCACAAUGGACGGAAGUCUGAUGCAGCAACGCCGCGUGCGGGAUGACGGCCUUCGGGUUGUAAACCGCUUUCAAUUGUGACGAAGCUUUUUUGUGACGGUAGCAGUAGAAGAAGCACCGGCUAACUACGUG